CCUUGUGGAGGAGGACGCCGAAGGUGGGGCUAAUGACUGGGGUGAAGUCGUAACAAGGUAGCCGUACCGGAAGGUGCGGCUGGAUCACCUCCUAACAGGGAGACAACAAAAUGUUAAAUAUUAAUUUUGUCACCUUAGGUCGAUCGGUAUCUCACAUUCUUAAAUUAAUUUAAGGAUUUUAUUUCCUAAGUUUUUUCUAGGUCACACCCAUUACUUUUUCCUGGGCCAUUAGCUCAGGUGGUUAGAGCGCACCCCUGAUAAGGGUGAGGUCCCUGGUUCAAGUCCAGGAUGGCCCAUAUCUCUAUGUUGGGGGUAUAGCUCAGUUGGUAGAGCGCCUGCUUUGCAAGCAGGAUGUCAGCGGUUCGAGUCCGCUUACCUCCACUGAUCACCACCUCUUCCAUAAUUUUAUAGAAGGGAAUUGUUUUGAGUUGUGAUCAAAUUCUGAACGAAUCUAGCUUCCUAAUGAAACUUAUUAAGAUGCUGGACUCAUUGAAUUAAUUUCAUUGUUUUCAGAGAACCUUGACAACUGCAUAGAUUAUUUUUAAAGACAAUAAGCAUCUUUAAUGAUGCAGAUUUAUUAUUUGUGCGAAUGCAUUAAUAACAAUUCUAUUAAGCUGAUGCUUCAAUUUUUGAAGUUAUUGGUCAAGCUACAAAGGGCUCACGGAGGAUACCUAGGCACACAGAGGCGAU
Molecule: unclassified non-coding RNA, 690 nt
Filed under: uncultured Prochlorococcus sp.
Lineage: Bacteria; Bacillati; Cyanobacteriota; Cyanophyceae; Synechococcales; Prochlorococcaceae
Description: partial may contain 16S ribosomal RNA, 16S-23S ribosomal RNA intergenic spacer, and 23S ribosomal RNA
Rfam family: Bacterial small subunit ribosomal RNA (bases 1-95)
Source: RNAcentral